AUAUAAAUUAUUUUUGAAAGGUUAAUAAAGUGUUGCUUUUUACUGAUUAGGCCAAUGGACCAUGUUAUUUGCACUCUUACACUCUGUGUUUUUUCACUUUACUCUUUGCAUAUUUAACCAGAGUAUCAAUUACUUACAUUCAGGCCAUCUUCACAUUUGAAAAAUAUGUCAAAUUGUCUGGUUUCCAAUUAUACCAUAGGUAGGAGCUGGGGAGCGUUUGGCUGUCAUCUCAUAGUAUAUAUCAAGUGAAAGGGGGAAGCAAUCUGAAGUUUAAGUAGGCUGAUGUGGAUGUCCCCUUUACUUUUUGCUUGGCUUCAGAUUUGUACAGAUCUCCUGGGACCUGAUCCCACAUUGAUAGCAACACCCACAUUUUCUUUUUAUCUCGAGUAUGGGGUAGGCCUCUGCUAAUACUGGGAACACUGUGAAUCUGAUUCUGAUCUUCUGUAUCCUUAUGUCAUUCAUUGGAAUUAUUCCUGCUUUAAAUAGCAAUGAGUAAGGUCAGAAUUAGGCCAGUGUUUUCUAAAUCAUCUUAGUAGUAGUAGACCAUUAAAAUAUACCUGAUUUAUUCUUACUAUGUCAAAUUUUAGCUUUUUCUGUGACAUACAAGCAAUAUUCUAAAUCUUACUGUAUUCCUUCCAUGUAUCAGAUACAGAACUGAGGCAGAAUGUUUGGACCCAGAACCUUAUUAUUUACCAUAUUCAUCUUUCACUGAUGAAAAUAUCAUAGUCUUCAUUGUGUCAGUCAUUAGAGAGAAGCCGUAAUGGGACCCAGGUGAAUUUCUUAAGAUCCCCAUCUAAAGAGAACAAAGCAGCAGUGCCAAGCUUCUAGCUGUAGAAGAAACAGGAAGAAGAGCAACUCAUGGCCAUGCCGAUAGGGGAAGAUGAUUUCAGGCAUCAGGCCAGGAUCUUCUCAGCUACCAGCAUGGUGUUACAUUAGUUCUUUCCACCAUGAGUCACGGAACCACAACCCUGAGAGAGACCGUUAUCAGGUCUGCAGAAAACAGAGGAUAGAAGCAUCUGAGAGGAAAUGAGAGUAGCAUGAGGGAUUUCCCAGUCAUAUGCAUGGAGAAGAGCUACAGAAGGAUAAACAAACUUUUCAGCUUACAGAAUGAUUUUGUUUUUACAGCUGCAGACACAACACAGCUGAGAGAACCUAUGAGGGACCAUCUUUGAGAACUGGCAUGGCUCUGGUUCUUCAAUUAGGGAGAAAAGGUAGAGGCAGAAUUGAAUCAGGAAGGAGGGAAGCAUUUGAAAACUAACUCAUAUCUAGUAGGUGUCGUGCUCCCCUUUGCUGUGGGAAAGUAUGAUAAACGGUACUAACAUAAUGGUGUUCAUAGCAGUACAACAGUGAUUCUCAAAUUUUUUAGCCAUAGAAAACUCAACUCAACUGAAACCUUUCCAAGGACCACCAGCCAACCAUCCAU
This is a non-coding RNA of Pelodiscus sinensis (Chinese soft-shelled turtle), 1423 nucleotides long. The record is from RefSeq and is a predicted model, not a curated record. Lineage: Eukaryota; Metazoa; Chordata; Testudines; Trionychidae.